Molecule: ribosomal RNA, 253 nt
Filed under: uncultured bacterium
Lineage: Bacteria
Description: partial 16S ribosomal RNA
Rfam family: Bacterial small subunit ribosomal RNA
Source: RNAcentral
UACGUAGGCAGCAAGCGUUGUUCGGAAUUACUGGGCGUAACGAGUGUGUAGGCGGUGAACUAAGUUCGGUGUGAAAUCUCCCGGCUCAACUGGGAGGGUGCGCCGGAAACUGGUUUGCUGGAGCGUGGGAGAGGAAAGCGGAAUUCCUGGUGUAGCGGUGAAAUGCGUAGAUAUCAGGAGGAACACCUGUGGUGUAGACAGCUUUCUGGACCAUAGCUGACGCUGAGACACGAAAGCGUGGGUAGCAAACAGG